This 824-nucleotide ribosomal RNA is filed under the name Engystomops petersi (Peters' dwarf frog). RNAcentral describes it as "partial large subunit ribosomal RNA". It matches the Rfam family "Bacterial large subunit ribosomal RNA", at positions 1523 to 2574 of the family's 2925-position model. Lineage: Eukaryota; Metazoa; Chordata; Amphibia; Anura; Leptodactylidae. The record is from RNAcentral.
ACUAUUAUUUACAAUGAACCCUUUAUUUUUACUGAAUAUUUCUAUAAAGUUAUAGAACCUUUUAUGUUGAAACUAGUAACAAGAAGUUAAACUUCUCCUCAAUAUAAGUAUAAGUCGACUAGGAUAAACCAUCGACAAUUAACGCUUAAAUUAAAUGUAUUAACUCCACAAGAAAAACUUACAUUACCCCACGUUAAUCUUACACCAGAACAUUUAAGGAAAGAUUUAAAAAAAAGGAAGGAACUCGGCAAACAUUAACCCCGCCUGUUUACCAAAAACAUCGCCUUCUGAUAUAUUAUAGAAGGUCCAGCCUGCCCAGUGAAUUAAUUUAACGGCCGCGGUAUCCUAACCGUGCGAAGGUAGCGUAAUCACUUGUUCUUUAAAUGAGGACUAGUAUGAAUGGCACCACGAAGGUUAUACUGUCUCCCUUUUUUGAUCAGUUAAACUAAUCUUCACGUGAAGAAGCGUGAAUAAACAUAUAAGACGAGAAGACCCUAUGGAGCUUAAAAUUACACAACAAUUGUUAAAAAAAUCCUAAAUUUUAUAAAUAAUUUUUUACUAAACACCAUGAUUGCUAAUUUUUGGUUGGGGUGACCGCGGAGUAAAAAUUAACCUCCACAAUGAAAGAAAUCAAUAUUCUAAACUAAGAGCUACAACUCAAAGUAUUAAUAUUUUAACAUUCUUUGAUCCAAUAUUUGAUCAACGAACAAAGUUACCCUAGGGAUAACAGCGCAAUCUACUUUGAGAGCUCCUAUCGACAAGUAGGUUUACGACCUCGAUGUUGGAUCAGGGUAUCCUAGUGGUGCAGCCGCUACUAAUGGUUC